GAUGAGCGCUGGCGGCGUGCCUAACACAUGCAAGUCGAGCGAGGGUUUGCUCAGUAUUGAGUAUUCUAAGAUUAGAAUGUUCAAUUCUGAGCAAAACCAAGCGGCGGACGGGUGAGUAACGCGUGGGUAACCUGCCCUAUACACAUGGAUAACAUACUGAAAAGUUUACUAAUACAUGAUAAUAUAUAUUUGCGGCAUCGCAGAUAUAUCAAAGUGUUAGCGGUAUAGGAUGGACCCGCGUCUGAUUAGCUAGUUGGUGAGAUAACUGCCCACCAAGGCGACGAUCAGUAGCCGACCUGAGAGGGUGAUCGGCCACAUUGGAACUGAGACACGGUCCAAACUCCUACGGGAGGCAGCAGUGGGGAAUAUUGCACAAUGGGCGAAAGCCUGAUGCAGCAACGCCGCGUGAACGAUGAAGGUCUUCGGAUCGUAAAGUUCUGUUGCAGGGGAAGAUAAUGACGGUACCCUGUGAGGAAGCCCCGGCUAACUACGUGCCAGCAGCCGCGGUAAUACGUAGAGGGCUAGCGUUAUCCGGAUUUACUGGGCGUAAAGGGUGCGUAGGUGGUCCUUCAAGUCGGUGGUUAAAGGCUACGGCUCAACCGUAGUAAGCCGCCGAAACUGGAGGACUUGAGUGCAGGAGAGGAAAGUGGAAUUCCCAGUGUAGCGGUGAAAUGCGUAGAUAUUGGGAGGAACACCAGUAGCGAAGGCGGCUUUCUGGACUGCAACUGACACUGAGGCACGAAAGCGUGGGUAGCAAACAGG
RNAcentral lists this ribosomal RNA (762 nucleotides) under uncultured Peptostreptococcus sp. Its description in RNAcentral is "bacterial SSU rRNA". It matches the Rfam family "Bacterial small subunit ribosomal RNA", at positions 28 to 776 of the family's 1533-position model. Lineage: Bacteria; Bacillati; Bacillota; Clostridia; Peptostreptococcales; Peptostreptococcaceae. The record is from RNAcentral.